GCCGUGAUUGUAUAGUGGUUAGUACUCUGUGUUGUGGCCUCAGCAACCCUGGUUUGAAUUCCGGUCAUGGCA
This is a non-coding RNA of Danio rerio (zebrafish), 72 nucleotides long. The record is from Rfam. NCBI's taxonomy places the organism in Eukaryota, Metazoa, Chordata, Actinopteri, Cypriniformes, Danionidae.